RNAcentral lists this ribosomal RNA (200 nucleotides) under uncultured bacterium. RNAcentral describes it as "partial 16S ribosomal RNA". It matches the Rfam family "Bacterial small subunit ribosomal RNA", at positions 29 to 258 of the family's 1533-position model. The record is from RNAcentral.
AACGAACGCUGGCGGCAGGCUUAACACAUGCAAGUCGAACGCCCCGCAAGGGGAGUGGCAGACGGGUGAGUAACGCGUGGGAAUCUACCUAGUUCUACGGAACAACAGUUGGAAACGACUGCUAAUACCGUAUACGCCCUACGGGGGAAAGAUUUAUCGGAAUUAGAUGAGCCCGCGUAAGAAUAGCUAGUUGGUGAGGU